RNAcentral lists this ribosomal RNA (484 nucleotides) under uncultured bacterium. RNAcentral's name for it is "partial 16S ribosomal RNA". It matches the Rfam family "Bacterial small subunit ribosomal RNA", at positions 30 to 507 of the family's 1533-position model. The record is from RNAcentral.
AGUGAACGCUGGCGGCAGGCCUAACACAUGCAAGUCGAGCGGCAGCGGGUCCUUCGGGAUGCCGGCGAGCGGCGGACGGGUGAGGAAUACAUCGGAAUCUGCCCUGUCGUGGGGGAUAACCUAGGGAAACGUAGGCUAAUACCGCAUACGACCUACGGGUGAAAGCGGGGGAUCGCAAGACCUCGCGCGACAGGAUGAGCCGAUGUCCGAUUAGCUAGUUGGCGGGGUAAAGGCCCACCAAGGCGACGAUCGGUAGCUGGUCUGAGAGGAUGAUCAGCCACACUGGGACUGAGACACGGCCCAGACUCCUACGGGAGGCAGCAGUGGGGAAUAUUGGACAAUGGGCGCAAGCCUGAUCCAGCCAUGCCGCGUGGGUGAAGAAGGCCUUCGGGUUGUAAAGCCCUUUUGUCCGGGAAGAAAUCGUCUGGGCUAAUACCCCGGGCGGAUGACGGUACCGGAAGAAUAAGCACCGGCUAACUUCGUG